GCGUCGGUUGUAAAACGGUUUUAGCACGCUCUCCCUGAGAGAGUGAAAUCUGGGUUCGAAACCCAGCUGACGCA
Non-coding RNA from Parelaphostrongylus tenuis, 74 nucleotides. The record is from the annotation of a GenBank genome assembly. NCBI's taxonomy places the organism in Eukaryota, Metazoa, Nematoda, Chromadorea, Rhabditida, Metastrongylidae.